Erigeron canadensis is the source of this 753-nucleotide long non-coding RNA. RefSeq lists it as uncharacterized. The transcript is spliced from 3 exons. The record is from RefSeq and is a predicted model, not a curated record. Lineage: Eukaryota; Viridiplantae; Streptophyta; Magnoliopsida; Asterales; Asteraceae.
UUGUAAAACAUAUAUACUCAAAGUGGUGUGUUUUUUUUAAAAAAAACAAAGUACGACUAUUUGGUAAUCAAGCUCGGCAGGUUGUCAACCAGUUGCAGGACUUACCAAAUCAACAAAAGAAAAUAUGUUCAGAACUUCUGAACCUCACGUUAGCAUUUUAUGAAGAUACAAGUACAUGCAAAAUCAGAAAUUUCUAUCAGUGAAAUAAAGUUGAGAGAGAGAGGGAGAGAAGAUACACAGUUUCACAUUUAACCGUGGAUAACUGACCCAUUGGUCCCCUGCCAACUGGUUCCACGGCCAAUAUGAGAGAAGAUGUCAGUUAAUUGAAGAGGAACACUCAAGAGACCAGAUAUUGGAAGUUUGAACAAUGAACGUGAUCAGAAUCUAGAGUAGUGCACAUUCGGGCGAGCAAAACUAGCAACACUAGGGGUACUAGAAACGGUGCAUACCAGAUAGAUGGUCGUACAACUCCACAAUGUUUAGGCGAUUACCCACACACCAUCCAGUUCAUCUGGCAUAAUUGAGAUACUUGUAGUCCUGAUAAGAUGACAGAUGACAAAGUUGAAGGGCAAAACAUAGCUGAAAACUGUAGAAAUCCAAAUGCUCAGUUUUGGAAUCAGAUAUCAAUACAAUCAUACAAGUACAAAUUAACAUAUAUGGAAAAGAAUGAUGAUUGUAAUAAUUAGUCACUUUUAGCACAUCCAGUAACGAGCUGAAUUGAUGAAUAUGACUGCAACCUUUAUGUGGCGAUUU